AGCUACAGGCUUAACACAUGCAAGUCGACGGUCAGCAUGGUCUUAGCUUGCUAAGGCCGAUGGCGACCGGCGCACGGGUGAGUAACACGUAUCCAACCUGCCGUCUACUCUUGGACAGCCUUCUGAAAGGAAGAUUAAUACAAGAUGGCAUCAUGAGUCCGCAUGUUCACAUGAUUAAAGGUAUUCCGGUAGACGAUGGGGAUGCGUUCCAUUAGAUAGUAGGCGGGGUAACGGCCCACCUAGUCUUCGAUGGAUAGGGGUUCUGAGAGGAAGGUCCCCCACAUUGGAACUGAGACACGGUCCAAACUCCUACGGGAGGCAGCAGUGAGGAAUAUUGGUCAAUGGGCGAGAGCCUGAACCAGCCAAGUAGCGUGAAGGAUGACUGCCCUAUGGGUUGUAAACUUCUUUUAUAAAGGAAUAAAGUCGGGUAUGGAUACCCGUUUGCAUGUACUUUAUGAAUAAGGAUCGGCUAACUCCGUGCCAGCAGCCGCGGUAAUACGGAGGAUCCGAGCGUUAUCCGGAUUUAUUGGGUUUAAAGGGAGCGUAGAUGGAUGUUUAAGUCAGUUGUGAAAGUUUGCGGCUCAACCGUAAAAUUGCAGUUGAUACUGGAUAUCUUGAGUGCAGUUGAGGCAGGCGGAAUUCGUGGUGUAGCGGUGAAAUGCUUAGAUAUCACGAAGAACUCCGAUUGCGAAGGCAGCCUGCUAAGCUGCAACUGACAUUGAGGCUCGAAAGUGUGGGUAUCAAACAGGAUUAGAUACCCUGGUAGUCCACACGGUAAACGAUGAAUACUCGCUGUUUGCGAUAUACGGCAAGCGGCCAAGCGAAAGCGUUAAGUAUUCCACCUGGGGAGUACGCCGGCAACGGUGAAACUCAAAGGAAUUGACGGGGGCCCGCACAAGCGGAGGAACAUGUGGUUUAAUUCGAUGAUACGCGAGGAACCUUACCCGGGCUUAAAUUGCAGAUGAAUUACGGUGAAAGCCGUAAGCCGCAAGGCAUCUGUGAAGGUGCUGCAUGGUUGUCGUCAGCUCGUGCCGUGAGGUGUCGGCUUAAGUGCCAUAACGAGCGCAACCCUUGUUGUCAGUUACUAACAGGUUCUGCUGAGGACUCUGACAAGACUGCCAUCGUAAGAUGUGAGGAAGGUGGGGAUGACGUCAAAUCAGCACGGCCCUUACGUCCGGGGCUACACACGUGUUACAAUGGGGGGUACAGAGGGCCGCUACCACGCGAGUGGAUGCCAAUCCCAAAAACCUCUCUCAGUUCGGACUGGAGUCUGCAACCCGACUCCACGAAGCUGGAUUCGCUAGUAAUCGCGCAUCAGCCACGGCGCGGUGAAUACGUUCCCGGGCCUUGUACACACCGCCCGUCAAGCCAUGGGAGCCGGGGGUACCUGAAGUGCGUAACCGCGAGGAGCGCCCUAGGGUAAAACUGGUGAAAGG
RNAcentral lists this ribosomal RNA (1436 nucleotides) under uncultured organism. Its description in RNAcentral is "SSU rRNA". It matches the Rfam family "Bacterial small subunit ribosomal RNA". The record is from RNAcentral.